GAUGAACGCUGGCGGCGUGCUUAACACAUGCAAGUCGAACGGAAAGGCUCCUGCUUGCAGGGGUACUCGAGUGGCGAACGGGUGAGUAACACGUGGGUGAUCUGCCCUGCACUUCGGGAUAAGCCUGGGAAACUGGGUCUAAUACCGGAUAGGACGAUGGUUUGGAUGCCAUUGUGGAAAGUUUUUCGGUGUGGGAUGAGCUCGCGGCCUAUCAGCUUGUUGGUGGGGUAAUGGCCUACCAAGGCGUCGACGGGUAGCCGGCCUGAGAGGGUGUACGACCACAUUGGGACUGAGAUACGGCCCAGACUCCUACGGGAGGCAGCAGUGGGGAAUAUUGCACAAUGGGCGCAAGCCUGAUGCAGCGACGCCGCGUGGGGGAUGACGGCCUUCGGGUUGUAAACUCCUUUCGCUAGGGACGAAGCGUUUUGUGACGGUACCUGGAGAAGAAGCACCGGCUAACUACGUG
Molecule: ribosomal RNA, 466 nt
Filed under: uncultured bacterium
Lineage: Bacteria
Description: partial 16S ribosomal RNA
Rfam family: Bacterial small subunit ribosomal RNA
Source: RNAcentral